UACGGAAGGGGCAAGCGUUGUUCGGAAUUAUUGGGCGUAAAGGGCGCGUAGGUGGUUCUAUAUGUCUGCUGUGAAAGGGUACGGCUCAACCGUACUUGGUCGGUGGAAACUGUAGGACUUGAGGCUGGGAGGGGCUAGUGGAAUUCCCCGUGUAGCGGUGAAAUGCGUAGAGAUGGGGGAGAACACUCGUGGCGAAGGCGGCUAGCUGGACCAGUCCUGACACUGAGGCGCGACAGCGUGGGGAGCAAACAGG
RNAcentral lists this unclassified non-coding RNA (253 nucleotides) under uncultured bacterium. RNAcentral describes it as "contains 16S-23S intergenic spacer region". It matches the Rfam family "Bacterial small subunit ribosomal RNA", at positions 524 to 776 of the family's 1533-position model. The record is from RNAcentral.